RNAcentral lists this unclassified non-coding RNA (611 nucleotides) under Hevea brasiliensis (rubber tree). Lineage: Eukaryota; Viridiplantae; Streptophyta; Magnoliopsida; Malpighiales; Euphorbiaceae. The record is from RNAcentral.
CCAGGCCCUAUCUCUUUCUCUAUCUCUCUCCACCAUGCACCACCACCACCACCAUCCACACGUUUCUUCACCGCACGCUACACAAAAGAGACUCAAGUUCUGCAUCAACGACCACAUCGACAUUCUCAUCGAAAUACUCAAACGCCUCGAUGGCCGCUCACUCGGUGUCGCCGCCUGCGUUUGUCGCCUCUGGUGCACUAUUGCCCGCAAUGACUCUCUUUGGGAGGACCUCUGCUUCCGCCAUGUCUCUCCUCCACCUUCCGGCGUACGUGCCGUCGUUGUCGCUCUAGGCGGCUACAAGAGGCUCUACAUGGUUUGUGUUCGUCCCGUACUGAGUCGACUCGGUCGGCGGUUGAGACUCGGUGACUCUGACCGGGUUGGGAGAAUAUGGACUGGGGACGAGGUGCAACUCUCACUUUCUUUGUUCUGUGUUGAUUAUUAUGAGAGGCUUGGGAGGCUUGGUGGCGGUGGUGGUGGCAGCGGCGGCGGCGGCAGUGACAGCAACAAAGUCAGAUAGUGGUAGUGGUAGUGGCAAAAUGGUGGUAGAGGUGAUAAUAACUAAAUGGCGAUAAUGGUGGUCAAGUGAUAGUGAUGGUAAUGGUGGUAAUAGG